UACGUAUGGUGCGAACGUUGUUCGGAAUCACUGGGCAUAAAGAGCACGUAGGCGGUCUGGUAAGUCCGAUGUGAAAUCCCCCGGCUCAACCGGGGAACUGCAUCGGAUACUGCUGGGCUCGAGUGCAGGAGGGGAGAGUGGAAUUCCUGGUGGAGCGGUGAAAUGCGUAGAUAUCAGGAGGAACGCCGGUGGCGAAAGCGACUCUCUGGCCUGUAACUGACGCUGAGGUGCGAAAGCCAGGGGAGCAAACGGG
This 253-nucleotide unclassified non-coding RNA is filed under the name uncultured Planctomycetota bacterium. RNAcentral describes it as "uncultured planctomycete contains 16S-23S intergenic spacer region". It matches the Rfam family "Bacterial small subunit ribosomal RNA", at positions 524 to 776 of the family's 1533-position model. Lineage: Bacteria; Pseudomonadati; Planctomycetota. The record is from RNAcentral.